GGGGUAUUAGCUCAGUUGGUUCAGAGUACCACCCUGACACGGUGGGGGUCACUGGUUCGAGCCCAGUAUGCCUCACAA
RNAcentral lists this transfer RNA (78 nucleotides) under Hymenobacter sp. PAMC 26628. Its description in RNAcentral is "tRNA-Val". It matches the Rfam family "tRNA". Rfam says of the family: Transfer RNA (tRNA) molecules are approximately 80 nucleotides in length. Their secondary structure includes four short double-helical elements and three loops (D, anti-codon, and T loops). The record is from RNAcentral. RNAcentral also lists the same sequence under 2 other names. Lineage: Bacteria; Pseudomonadati; Bacteroidota; Cytophagia; Cytophagales; Hymenobacteraceae.